GCAAGUCGAACGCGAAAGACCCAGCAAUGGGUUGGUAGCGUGGCAAACGGGUGAGUAACGCGUGGGCGACCUACCUCCGAGUGGGGGAUAACCUUCCGAAAGGGAGGCUAAUACCGCAUGACAUCCCAUUUUUGGAUAGAUGGACAUCAAAGCCGGGGAUCGCAAGACCUGGCGCUUGGAGAGGGGCCCGCGUCCGAUUAGCUAGUUGGUGAGGUAACGGCCCACCAAGGCUUCGAUCGGUAUCCGGCCUGAGAGGGCGGACGGACACACUGGAACUGAGACACGGUCCAGACUCCUACGGGAGGCAGCAGUGGGGAAUUGUUCGCAAUGGACGAAAGUCUGACGACGCAACGCCGCGUGGAGGAUGAAGACCUUCGGGUCGUAAACUCCUUUCGACCGAGAUGAAGAGACGCCCAUCUAACACAUGGGCGUAUUGACAGUAUCGAGGGAAGCAGCCCCGGCUAACUCUGUGCCAGCAGCCGCGGUAAUACAGGGGGGGCAAGCGUUGUUCGGAAUUACUGGGCGUAAAGGGUUCGUAGGUGGCUUGCUAAGUCACACGUGAAAUCCCUCAGCUUAACUGGGGAACUGCGUGUGAAACUGGCGAGCUUGAGGGUAGGAGAGGAAUGCGGAAUUCCAGGUGUAGCGGUGAAAUGCGUAGAUAUCUGGAGGAACACCGGUGGCGAAGGCGGCAUUCUGGACUAUUUCUGACACUGAUGAACGAAAGCCAGGGGAGCAAACGGGAUUAGAUACCCCGGUAGUCCUGGCCCUAAACGAUGAAUGCUUGGUGUGGCGGGUAUCGAUCCCUGCCGUGCCGCAGUUAACGCGUUAAGCAUUCCGCCUGGGGAGUACGGUCGCAAGGCUG
RNAcentral lists this ribosomal RNA (862 nucleotides) under uncultured Acidobacteriota bacterium. Its description in RNAcentral is "bacterial SSU rRNA". It matches the Rfam family "Bacterial small subunit ribosomal RNA", at positions 57 to 896 of the family's 1533-position model. The record is from RNAcentral. Lineage: Bacteria; Pseudomonadati; Acidobacteriota.